Molecule: non-coding RNA, 68 nt
Filed under: Niastella yeongjuensis
Lineage: Bacteria; Pseudomonadati; Bacteroidota; Chitinophagia; Chitinophagales; Chitinophagaceae
Source: RNAcentral
AAAUAAGAUUUACUGUGAGAAGUCAGCCGAGGCCAUAGUACGGGAGAACGACCACUUCCCGGAAGGGC